Molecule: ribosomal RNA, 497 nt
Filed under: uncultured bacterium
Lineage: Bacteria
Description: partial 16S ribosomal RNA
Rfam family: Bacterial small subunit ribosomal RNA
Source: RNAcentral
GAUGAACGCUGGCGGCGUGCCUAAUACAUGCAAGUCGAGCGAACGGACGAGAAGCUUGCUUCUCUGAUGUUAGCGGCGGACGGGUGAGUAACACGUGGAUAACCAACCUAUAAGACUGGGAUAACUUCGGGAAACCGUAGCUAAUACCGGAUAAUAUUUUGAACCGCAUGGUUCAAAAGUGAAAGACGGUCUUGCUGUCACUUAUAGAUGGAUCCGCGCUGCAUUAGCUAGUUGGUAAGGUAACGGCUUACCAAGGCAACGAUGCAUAGCCGACCUGAGAGGGUGAUCGGCCACACUGGAACUGAGACACGGUCCAGACUCCUACGGGAGGCAGCAGUAGGGAAUCUUCCGCAAUGGGCGAAAGCCUGACGGAGCAACGCCGCGUGAGUGAUGAAGGUCUUCGGAUCGUAAAACUCUGUUAUUAGGGAAGAACAUAUGUGUAAGUAACUGUGCACAUCUUGACGGUACCUAAUCAGAAAGCCACGGCUAACUACGUG